UGAGUCCGCCGGGCGAUCGCGGCCCCAUUUGGCGACUAGCCAACACGCUCCUGCGUGUUGGGGCUGAGGAAAGUCCGAACUCCGCAGGGCAGGGCGCCGGCUAACGGCCGGGUGCGGUGACGCAACGGAAAGUGCCACAGAAAAGACACCGCCGAAAGAAAGGAUGAAGGCGGAAGGAUGAAGGAUGAAACUCAUACAUCAUCCGCCAUUCAUUCUUCAGCCCUCAUCCCUCAUCCUUUCUUUCGGUAAGGGUGAAAAGGUGCGGUAAGAGCGCACCGCGCUGAUGGUAACAUCAGUGGCAGGGCAAACCCCGCCCGGAGCAAGACCAAGUAAGCCGCGAGUCUUUCCGGCCCGGAGAGCGCAAGACGCGGCGGGUAGGUCGCAGGAGGUCGUGAGCAAUCACGAUCCCAGACAGAUGAUCGCCACUUUUCCGAUUCCGGCAGGGACACAGUCCCUGCUCGGCGGAGGGAAAGAACAGAAUUCGGCUUACCGGCGGACUCGACUA
This 505-nucleotide RNase P RNA is filed under the name bacterium. RNAcentral's name for it is "RNase P RNA component class A". It matches the Rfam family "Bacterial RNase P class A". Rfam says of the family: Ribonuclease P (RNase P) is a ubiquitous endoribonuclease, found in archaea, bacteria and eukarya as well as chloroplasts and mitochondria. Its best characterised activity is the generation of mature 5'-ends of tRNAs by cleaving the 5'-leader elements of precursor-tRNAs. Cellular RNase Ps are ribonucleoproteins. The record is from RNAcentral.